This 95-nucleotide signal recognition particle RNA is filed under the name Alphaproteobacteria bacterium. RNAcentral describes it as "signal recognition particle sRNA small type". It matches the Rfam family "Bacterial small signal recognition particle RNA". From Rfam's summary of the family: The signal recognition particle (SRP) is a universally conserved ribonucleoprotein involved in the co-translational targeting of proteins to membranes. Archaeal SRP consists of a 7S RNA and homologues of the eukaryotic SRP19 and SRP54 proteins. The record is from RNAcentral. Lineage: Bacteria; Pseudomonadati; Pseudomonadota; Alphaproteobacteria.
GGAGGUUGGUGGCGGACGGGCCUGUCGCCAACCCGGUCAGGUCCGGAAGGAAGCAGCCGUAACGAAUUUGGCCCGGGUCGUUGCCAGCCUCCCAC